This 346-nucleotide unclassified non-coding RNA is filed under the name Hevea brasiliensis (rubber tree). Lineage: Eukaryota; Viridiplantae; Streptophyta; Magnoliopsida; Malpighiales; Euphorbiaceae. The record is from RNAcentral.
GCGUGUCAUCGCUGAGAUUGUUGUAUGUCCCUUCUCCCUCCUCCUUUUUAUAUAUCUGUUUUUUAUUCUGUCAGUUGCAGUUCUUUUUUCCUUUUCCAUGUAUACUAUGUUUCUUGAUAUUAUCAAACAUGUUCAAUGAUGUUAUAUUUUAUUUAAUUAACUAUAUAUUCCUAUAAUGGUCCCUUAACCUUUACUUCAUCUACUUUUUAAAAUAUGAUGGCAAUAUUUAUGGUUUUAGAUUUUCCGCUUGCUUUGCAUCUUCAUAUUAUAAAUGCCAAGACAGUAUCUGCUGUUUUCAUUAAUUCAUUUAGAUAUCCAUCACAGUGUUAUUUCCUUUUUCUAAAUU